This 327-nucleotide ribosomal RNA is filed under the name uncultured Acidobacteriota bacterium. RNAcentral describes it as "bacterial SSU rRNA". It matches the Rfam family "Bacterial small subunit ribosomal RNA", at positions 32 to 351 of the family's 1533-position model. The record is from RNAcentral. Lineage: Bacteria; Pseudomonadati; Acidobacteriota.
AAUCAACGCUGGCGGCGUGCCUAACACAUGCAAGUCGAACGAGAAAGUGGGGGCAACUCCAUGAGUAAAGUGGCAGACGGGUGAGUAACACGUGAACAACCUACCCUCGAGUGUGGGAUAACACCGCGAAAGCGGUGCUAAUACCGCAUAACAUCUUCGGGUCGCAUGACUUGAUGAUCAAAAGCGCAAGUUGCUUGAGGAGGGGUUCGCGCCUGAUUAGCUAGUUGGUGAGGUAACGGCCCACCAAGGCAACGAUCAGUAGCCGGCCUGAGAGGGCGAACGGCCACACUGGAACUGAGACACGGUCCAGACUCCUACGGGAGGCUG